GUGAUCCAUCAUAUAGGAGCGAAAGACUUUUGUGAUGGUAUGGUUGUUCGCAUUGGACGUCGCCUAGAUUUGAACUAUGCAUUUAUUUGGAGCUAAUCAUCUGGAGGAU
Molecule: small nucleolar RNA, 109 nt
Organism: Malassezia restricta
Lineage: Eukaryota; Fungi; Basidiomycota; Malasseziomycetes; Malasseziales; Malasseziaceae
Source: RefSeq, a predicted model, not a curated record